This is a long non-coding RNA of Salvelinus fontinalis (brook trout), 4342 nucleotides long. RefSeq lists it as uncharacterized. The record is from RefSeq and is a predicted model, not a curated record. The transcript has 4 exons. NCBI's taxonomy places the organism in Eukaryota, Metazoa, Chordata, Actinopteri, Salmoniformes, Salmonidae.
AAAAUUCUAUGCUCUCAGGGUAGUGAGAGCAACGGAGGCACGGAGGAGAGCUACGAUGGAUAAACUAACGGGCCACGGGAGGACCGCGCUUUGAUUUAUAAUCCGUAGAGAGAUACCAUCUCUUCUGCCAUUCACGAGAGACAAGUGAAAUAAUGGUUAAGGGAUCUCACAACCUCGGAAAUAAACCACCAAUUCGACAUGGAUGUUUCCAAAACAGAGGUUUGAGGUUUGAGCAUCGACAGCGCCUUUUUAGAAACCGGCUGUCUCCGCCUGCUUCGAACGGGGAAUUUGGGAUGAGAAGCAUUUUUCGUUUUCUGUACAGACACAUGUCCUCUCUUCAUAGGUAAAUAAUCUGAUUUAAUUUCCUCGGUAAAACCUAUUCUAUAGGCUAGCCAUAUGCUUCUCAUCCUUUACCGGAACCCUUACUGUUGACUUCCACGCGGAAACGCAGCCCUCCAUUGGAUGGCAAAAGAACCAGGACAAAUUUCCUCACAUUGAAAAGUGGAACCCAUACGAUACUCUGGCAGUAUGUACGAGGAGGAGUCGGUUGCUAUCUUUGGUUAUCUAGCUGUAUGAGUGUUACUCGGCCGUCAUAAAGCUAGCUAACCGAAUGUAGGAAUGUCCUCCAAACCUGCGACUCGGACAGGAAUAAACGGUGUCCAGGAGUAAAGACACAAAAUAACAUAAUUGAUAUGCAAUUACAGGCCAGUACCCCAUUGCCUUUCCGGUAAGUUAUAACAAUUUUCCCUAAUCACUUAUUAUAAACAUCUGUUGAAACACUUAUGAAUUCCUCAAAACCUGAUACAACCCGAAAUUAUUUUUAUGCUUUUUCUUAUUUCAUUUAGAGAAUAUAUUCUCAAAAUAUAAGUAGGAUAAUCUUUAUAGCAUGCCUUUAAAUGGUAAGUCAACAUUUUCAACAAUGGAUUUAAAAUCAUGUUGUGAAUUGAAGUGUAUAUUUGUCCCACUUUUGUUUAGUAUGCUUGGAGCAAGAAAACUCUUUAUAUAUUUAUUUAUUCCAUCAUGCAAGGCAUCUAGAGUGAUUUUGCCGAAAACAUCUUCUAAAACGAAAAAUACUUAAUAAAAAGCCUUUAUUCCGGUCAGAGGAAUACAUAACUUUAUCCAGUCAUAUGAGUGAACUGUAACAAUUGAUUUUCGGGCAUGAAUAAAGCUUUGUCGCAUCAAAGUAUCCGUAGUUGACCUGUAUUCCUUAUAGUUCUCACUGCAUAAAUCAGGUUUACGCACACGCAAACACAUAUUGAAUUAAGGUUUAAUCAGAUGGAUUAAGAUUUGUAGCUCAUAUUGAUAUCAUUCUUGUCUCAGGUGGAAACGUUUUGAUUUUCCAGAAAAUGGCCGAUAUUAGCCUUUAUGACGUAUUUAGGCCUACUGUAGUCCAACUCCUAUGAAAAAGACUGUCCUGAUUAAGAUGAGCUAUGUAGGCUUUACCUACUCCUUGCACUGAAAUUCUGAAAAGCGUAGGCUAAUCAUAUCUUUCAGUCGAUAUUAAGUCAAGCGAUCCAUGUCAUUACAUAACGCAUACUUCCAGUUGUGUUCUCACAUUGAGUUGUGUUGUCUAGAAAGGAAGAACACUUAAGAUGUUCAUGGUUUUGUAGAUUUAAAUGCAUUAUACCUCCCAUGUGAGUCUCACAAUACCUUUACGCAUUGUGCGCACACCUAAUCGGCCCAAAUGAUUCAAGUGUCUCAAUUUGGACUUUCUGCCUGGCCCUUCACGGUGCUAUAGCUGUCCCUCAAAAGGCAACUUCUAUAGCUUCUCUUGGAGAACCAAAUCCGCCGAUGCAUUUUCAUUCAACCAACAACUCCUCUCAGAGCCUACAGUGGCGCUCAAUGGCUGGAGCGCGCUCCUGGCUAAUUGGUUUGAUUCAGUAAAGGAGGCUAUACGCUGGAUUUGUGAAACGUCCCGAGCGAGCUUUUCCCACGACUGGCCGGAUCUCUCCAUUCUAGUGUGUCACCAGACAAUUUAGAAUUUCCACUGGUCAACCCAGUGACAUAGGACCUACCAGUCCCUACUCUGAUAAUCUCGUCCUUAACCAAAACCGCAUCCCCUUGAUCUCUAUUGUGAGCUUUACAUUAUCCAAGUGUAGGCCGAUAUCUAAAUUCCUCCUCAUGUCUUUUAAUACUGAGAGUAGGCUAGUUGUUGAUGAUGGAAAUGAACAACUACUAUUAACUCACUUGAUUUGAACACGUCGUAUUCUGAUCAAUCUCAAUAUAUGUUUAAAAUAUCCAUCUAUUAUUAUUUAUUGUACCUUCACCUUUAUUCACUAACUGCUUCUGAUUGUACCUCUACAAAACUCAAAAUAAAAGCCUUGUGUCGACCUCCUCCAACCUGCCUAUCUGAAUCUCCUCAUCAAUAACUGUAAUGCAGGCUCUGGUCCAUACAAGUCCCAACAAAGAAGAAUGGAGACAUUAUCUAAUUCAACCACACCUAUCUCAUCACUCUAUUCUUCUCUAGGCCUAAUCCAUAUAAACGUGUCCUUGCCUGUUGUAGAAGAACCCUUGGCAUGACUAUUCUAUAACCCGACAAUGAUCAAAUUAAUUGUUGCUGAAUGUUAGUGAUGAGAAUUCAAGCGUAUUGUUUUAAUGGAUAUGUUUAGCUUUUUUGUUGUUGCACUGUUGCAUUGUAUUGCAUUUGGAAAUGUCUUUGUUAUUGUCAAAAGUUGAUCCAGUGCCCUUGUCACUGCAGUGGUUGCCUGAGAUACACCCACAAACUCUGCAGUAUGAACAACACAAACUGUCUACUAAAUGUGACUGCCAGCCAUUCACACCAGGUCUGGAUUGAGCAAGGGGAAAGUGGCACAGUCGUCACAAAAAAACAGAAAGCAGGAGGGUAAGAAAAAGACCAACCUCCUUGUCCCUCUUCCCUUAAAUCUCCAUCACCGGAAGCCUUUGGUGCCAUCUGUGCCCCCGGAGAAAAGGACGGGCGAGAUCCUCCACCCUGUGCCAACGGGGACAAAGGAGCUGCCAGUUAGAGCGGCCCCCCUCGCAGGCAGCAAGAGGACUCUGUGUGACUGACUGGGGCUGAGCUACGGAAGCCAUCUUGAUGGAGAGUCUUGCUGCUGCUCCUAAAAUGGCUGUGUUGGCAUGAGGUCCUGCAGGUGUUGACAACCUCCAGGCGAAGCCUCUUCCAUCAGCCCUGAGCCCUGGGCCCUGAGCCCUGGGCCCUGAACCCUGAGCCCUGGGCCCUUCCUCAUUGGCAUCCUCUCCAGUCAAACACUAAGAAAUGAGGGCACUGAAGAAUCGCCCCUAAAGUUAACAGACAAUGCUUGUAGAAAUUUACUGUAAGGACAAUGUUUGGAGAUAUUUACUGUAAGGACAAUGUCUGGAGAUAUUUACUGUAAGGACAAUGUUUGGAGAUAUUUACUGUAAGGACAAUGUUUGGAGAUAUUUGAAGACUUUGUUUGCAGAAGUUGCGCACAGAUUAUCUGCUGAUAUAUUGCACUUGGGUAAUCAAUGUUCUCUUCUCCCCGGCUGAGAAUGUAUAGUUUCAACAUAACUUUUAAUAUUACAGCAGAAUGUAAGACAAUGUGUGUAUGAUGUUAAAUAAAAGGGAUGUGAUCAACAUGUGUUCAUACUUUAAUGUAAAUAUGAUGAUGUGUGUGUGUGUGUGUGUGUGUGUGUGUGUGUGUGUGUGUGUGUGUGUGUGUGUGUGUGUGUGUGUGUGUGUGUGUGUGUGUGUGUGUGUGUGUGUGUGUGUGUGUGUGUGUGUGUGUGUGUGUGUGUGUGUGUGGUUUGGUCCCUAUUGUACUCUUUAGAGUACUCUGGAGUAUACUGGGCUUCAGAGAAGCACUACAGUGCCCUAAUGAGUGGGCUGCUUACAAGAGAAGCUCUCUGGAUGUCUAUCCUCUGUCAUGUGCAAUAAGUUACUUUAUGAAUAGAACUGACUACUCUAUGCAAAUAAAUGUGAAUGACUCACCCUCUGGCUGUAUUGCAAAUGUUGUUUAAUGUUUGACUGUCACAGUGAAAAGAAAGACAUUGUUUGGUGAAGAUUUCAUCCAUUUACUAUAUAUUCAUCAAAUGCUGCAUUUUUCCUAUUACAAAUAUUAUCUGCAUGUGUUCAUAGUGAUCAGGGAAUGUUCUACAUGAAAUGUGUUGGAUACAGUAUUGAAGCAGUCCGAUUAAUAGCUGUCUCAUUGCCUGAUUAUUAUUAUUAUCCUUAUUCUGAGAGAUAGACAGUUUUGAACAUACCUGCAAUAAAGAAAGGGACACAUACUUGUACACAAACGUCUUACAAAACGUGUUUUUGUAAUUGAGUUCUGACUUGUCAUGACUUCUGUGCUGUUUGAAUUGAAUGUGUAUACAGAAUAAAUAAUACAACAGAUGUCUAAAA